GUCGAGCGAGAAGCCUUUUCAAGACUCUUCGGAUGACUUUAAAGGUGGAAAGCGGCGGACGGGUGAGUAACGCGUGGGCAACCUGCCUUAUACAGGGGGAUAACACCGGGAAACCGAUGCUAAUACCGCAUAACACAUAGAUAUCGCAUGGUAUUUAUGUCAAAGGAGAAAUCCGGUAUAAGAUGGGCCCGCGUCCAAUUAGCUAGUUGGUGGGGUAGAGGCCUACCAAGGCGACGAUUGGUAGCCGAACUGAGAGGUUGAUCGGCCACAUUGGGACUGAGACACGGCCCAGACUCCUACGGGAGGCAGCAGUGGGGAAUAUUGCGCAAUGGGGGGAACCCUGACGCAGCAACGCCGCGUGAAGGAUGAAGGUCUUCGGAUCGUAAACUUCUUUGAUUGGGGAAGAAGCAGUGACGGUACCCAAAGAACAAGCCACGGCUAACUACGUGCCAGCAGCCGCGGUAAUACGUAGGUGGCAAGCGUUGUCCGGAAUUACUGGGUGUAAAGGGCGUGUAGGCGGGGAUGCAAGUCAGAUGUGAAAAUCCGUGGCUCAACUGCGGAACUGCAUCUGAAACUGUAUCUCUUGAGUGCUGGAGAGGGAAGUGGAAUUCCUAGUGUAGCGGUGAAAUGCGUAGAGAUUAGGAAGAACACCAGUGGCGAAGGCGGCUUCCUGGACAGUAACUGACGCUGAGGCGCGAAAGCGUGGGGAGCGAACAGGAUUAGAUACCCUGGUAGUCCACGCCGUAAACGAUGGAUACUAGGUGUAGGAGGUAUCGACCCCUUCUGUGCCGGAGUUAACACAAUAAGUAU
This 810-nucleotide ribosomal RNA is filed under the name uncultured organism. RNAcentral's name for it is "bacterial SSU rRNA". It matches the Rfam family "Bacterial small subunit ribosomal RNA", at positions 61 to 867 of the family's 1533-position model. The record is from RNAcentral.